CCCUUAGAUGUCCUGGGCCGCACGCGCGCUACACUGAGUGUCUGAGAUACGAGUCUGCCUGGUCCGGCAAGGUCUAGGUAAUCGCUAAAAGACACAUCAUGCUUGGGAUAGAUUAUUGCAAAUAUUAAUCUUGAACGAGGAAUUCCUAGUAAGCGCAAGUCAACAGCUUGCGUUGAUUACGUCCCAGCCCUUUGUACACACCGCCCGUCGCUACUACUGAUUGGAUGUUUAAGCGAGGUUCUCGAACUGCUAGCGACUUAGCUUCGGUGAGGUCGCAGUGUGGGAAGUGAACCUAGCUUUGGUGUCUAGAGGAAGUAAAAGUCGUAACA
RNAcentral lists this ribosomal RNA (329 nucleotides) under uncultured eukaryote. Its description in RNAcentral is "partial 18S ribosomal RNA". It matches the Rfam family "Eukaryotic small subunit ribosomal RNA", at positions 1470 to 1796 of the family's 1831-position model. The record is from RNAcentral.